This 253-nucleotide ribosomal RNA is filed under the name uncultured bacterium. RNAcentral's name for it is "partial 16S ribosomal RNA". It matches the Rfam family "Bacterial small subunit ribosomal RNA", at positions 524 to 776 of the family's 1533-position model. The record is from RNAcentral.
UACGAAGGGGGCUAGCGUUGCUCGGAAUCACUGGGCGUAAAGCGCACGUAGGCGGCUUUUUAAGUCAGGGGUGAAAUCCUGGAGCUCAACUCCAGAACUGCCUUUGAUACUGAGAAGCUUGAGUCCGGGAGAGGUGAGUGGAACUGCGAGUGUAGAGGUAAAAUUCGUAGAUAUUCGCAAGAACACCAGUGGCGAAGGCGGCUCACUGGUCCGGUACUGACGCUGAGGUGCGAAAGCGUGGGGAGCAAACAGG